Molecule: non-coding RNA, 32 nt
Submitted as: unclassified sequences
Source: Rfam
CUAUGACCUAAAUUGAGUCAUGGCGGAAGGAG